RNAcentral lists this ribosomal RNA (253 nucleotides) under uncultured bacterium. RNAcentral's name for it is "partial 16S ribosomal RNA". It matches the Rfam family "Bacterial small subunit ribosomal RNA", at positions 524 to 776 of the family's 1533-position model. The record is from RNAcentral.
UACGUAGGUGACAAGCGUUGUCCGGAUUUACUGGGCGUAAAGAGCGCGCAGGCGGUCGAUCAAGUCGAGUGUGAAAGCCCCCGGCUCAACUGGGGAGGGUCAUUCGAUACUGAUCGACUCGAAGGCAGGAGAGGGUAGUGGAAUUCCCGGUGUAGUGGUGAAAUGCGUAGAUAUCGGGAGGAACAUCAGUGGCGAAGGCGGCUACCUGGCCCAAUACUGACACUCAGGUGCGACAGCGUGGGGAGCAAACAGG